Molecule: ribosomal RNA, 497 nt
Filed under: uncultured bacterium
Lineage: Bacteria
Description: partial 16S ribosomal RNA
Rfam family: Bacterial small subunit ribosomal RNA
Source: RNAcentral
GAUGAACGCUGGCGGCGUGCCUAAUACAUGCAAGUCGAGCGAACAGACGAGGAGCUUGCUCCUCUGACGUUAGCGGCGGACGGGUGAGUAACACGUGGAUACCCUACCUAUAAGACUGGGAUAACUUCGGGAAACCGGAGCUAAUACCGGAUAAUAUAUUGCACCGCAUGGUUCAAUAGUGAAAGACGGUUUUGCUGUCACUUAUAGAUGGAUCCGCGCCGCAUUAGCUAGUUGGUAAGGUAACGGCUUACCAAGGCAACGAUGCGUAGCCGAACUGAGAGGGUGAUCGGCCACACUGGAACUGAGACACGGUCCAGACUCCUACGGGAGGCAGCAGUAGGGAAUCUUACGCAAUGGGCGAAAGCCUGACGGAGCAACGCCGCGUGAGUGAUGAAGGUCUUCGGAUCGUAAAACUCUGUUAUUAGGGAAGAACAAAUGUGUAAGUAACUAUGCACGUCUUGACGGUACCUAAUCAGAAAGCCACGGCUAACUACGUG